AACGAACGCUGGCGGCAGGCUUAACACAUGCAAGUCGAACGGAUGCCUCCUGCUAUGAGUGGGAGACGGGGGCGCAACGCGGGGGAACCCACCUCAGUAUACGGGAUAGCUCCGGGAAACAGCAGAUAAUACCGGAUGUUUCCUCAGGGUCAAAGAUUCAUCGCCAAGGGAUGGGUCCGAGUCGGAUUAGCGAGGGGGUGGGGUAACGGCCUGCCAAGGCGAGGGUCCGUAGCUGGUCUAAGCGGAGGAUCAGCCACGUUGGGGCUGGGACACGGCCCAAAAUCCUAGGGAAGGGAGGAGUGGGGAAUAUAGGGGGAGGGGCGCAAGCCUGAUACAGCCAUGCCGGGUGAGUGGUGAAGGGGGUAGGGUUGUGAAGCUCUUUGACAGGUGGCGAUAGUGACGGUAACCGGAGAAGAAGCACCGGCUAACUUCGUG
RNAcentral lists this ribosomal RNA (435 nucleotides) under uncultured bacterium. RNAcentral describes it as "partial 16S ribosomal RNA". It matches the Rfam family "Bacterial small subunit ribosomal RNA", at positions 29 to 507 of the family's 1533-position model. The record is from RNAcentral.